RNAcentral lists this transfer RNA (67 nucleotides) under Rhyacotriton variegatus (southern torrent salamander). RNAcentral's name for it is "tRNA-Trp". It matches the Rfam family "tRNA". Rfam says of the family: Transfer RNA (tRNA) molecules are approximately 80 nucleotides in length. Their secondary structure includes four short double-helical elements and three loops (D, anti-codon, and T loops). Lineage: Eukaryota; Metazoa; Chordata; Amphibia; Caudata; Rhyacotritonidae. The record is from RNAcentral.
AAAGAUUUAGGAUACUAGACCAAGAACCUUCAAAGCUCUAAGUAGAAGUUAAAAUCUUCUAAUCUUU